AUCUAACCACAAGAAAAUCGCCUUUACGCACUUUCUAAAAACACCAUUUAUUUCAGCUCGGAUUCUCCUACGAUAUCGCCUGCGCUCUUUUUGAAGAAAACCAAUUAUUUCAGCUCAGAUUCUCCUCUUCUUAGUUAUUAUAUUUGGUUUAGAUUUGUAGUUAUCUAAAUUGGGGUUAAAUCCUAAUCUAAUUAGGAUUAUAUAUAAUUUAGAUUUAAUUUGGCAUAUAUGGAUUAUAAUUAGGAGUAUAAUUCUAAUUGAAUUAGACUCUAAUUAGGAUAUAUGUAUUAUAAAUACAUGCUACGGCCAAAUUAAUCAAGCUGCGACCAAA
This 331-nucleotide long non-coding RNA is filed under the name Ananas comosus (pineapple). RNAcentral's name for it is "long non-coding RNA (ACOM_LNC004688)". The record is from RNAcentral. Lineage: Eukaryota; Viridiplantae; Streptophyta; Magnoliopsida; Poales; Bromeliaceae.